UGACCACCAGGGGCCUGGGGGAGUAGGGAGGGCAUUUCCUGAAUGCUUUCCCAUUCACAUCUCAUUUGACCCAUGAGCAAAUAUGUGAGGUGCUAUCACUGGUGAGGUACACAGGGAACCCACGCUCGGAGACAUCUCAAGUCCUGCCUAAGGUCCCCAGCCAGAGCUUGAGCGCAGCCCUUUCCUCGGCACUAUGAGCAAGUGAGCAACCCCACCCCCCCGGACCAGUUUCCUCAUCUGUAAAAUGGGAAUCCCAAGUACUUUGCAGACCAUCGUGAGGUGCAGAGGAGGGAACGUGAACAGCUUUGCAGUUUGACAGUUGCUGCUGCGUCCCGGGCAUCUGUGACAGCCACCGGCCCUUCCUUACCCAGACGUGCCAGGCCAAGACCCACACCUGGAGCCAGGACUUCCAAGAAGCUCCCCACCCCGUGUACCCUCAUGUCCUCUGCAGGAGGCCGUGAUGGUGCCAGCACCCUUUUCCAGCAUGGUCCAGGGUCAAGGCACUUUCCAGAACACUGUCCCACUGGGCCACGGUCAGUGAGGAAAUUGCAAACUCUGAAGGAGCUGAAAACUGUGCUUUAUAAAUCCUCAGCUCUCAGAGUGGGAGGAAACCUCACGUUCAGCUAGAUGGGCCCCUCUCAAGUGCAGGAAUCUCAGCCGCCACACUACCUCUGGUGGCUGUCCAGCAUGAGCUUGUUUGCUCCCAGAAGCAGAGGGCUCACUCCCUUCCAAGGGAGACCCUUCUGCUGAAGAGUAAAUCUGCCGGUUCUUCCCUCUGUCCCACUCAC
Molecule: non-coding RNA, 788 nt
Organism: Macaca mulatta (Rhesus monkey)
Lineage: Eukaryota; Metazoa; Chordata; Mammalia; Primates; Cercopithecidae
Source: RefSeq, a predicted model, not a curated record